Bubalus bubalis (water buffalo) is the source of this 961-nucleotide long non-coding RNA. RefSeq lists it as uncharacterized. The record is from RefSeq and is a predicted model, not a curated record. The transcript is spliced from 3 exons. Lineage: Eukaryota; Metazoa; Chordata; Mammalia; Artiodactyla; Bovidae.
UAAAGCCUGCAGGAGACAUUAUAAUUCAAAUACUAGCCUAGAUGUGCUAAAUAUUUUAUUGACAAUCAAUUUUAUUUCACUCUACUUGAGAAAUGAAUAAGGGCGAAUGUUGCUAUUUGGCAGCAUCAGGUUUUUGACUUGAACUGGAAGCAUACAAGGUUGGUUAAACUAAUGUGAAUUUCUCCCUCAAGGUGAGUAUUAGCAACCUCUUAACUAAGAACACCUGGGCACGUUUUUUCCCCAGGGUAGGCCACUUCAUGUGGUCUUCAGACGCUGGCUCCCAAGCGCAGUGCGUAUGUGCAAGCCUCUUACAGAGUCAUGGGCCUGUGAAAUGUCCGGCUCCUCCAAGAAGGCCACUCCUGUGGACCACAGAUGCAGAUAGGGCAGGAUUCUGGUCCUUCUCAAUGUCCUCCUGAAGAGGACCUUGCAGAACCUCCAGUUCUUUUUCAUUCAUCAACUUAUCAAGACCACAGCAACUAACUGCAGGCAGUAGGUCAUCAGAGAGCACCAGGCUGGGCUCCCCUGUGUUACACAGCAGCUUCCCACUAGCAAUCAAUUUUGCACAGCCACAUGAGCUGCUAUAUAGGGCUACUCUCCAAGAGGGAGAGAGCAAGAGAUGCAUAGAGAAGCCCCAGGGAACCGCAACUACUAAGCCCCCAAGCCACAACUACUGAAGCCCAAGAGCACUCUGGCCCAUGCUCUGCAACAAAAGAAGUCACCGCAAUGAGAAACGAAAAGGAACCCCCAAUCGCCACAACUAGAGAAGAGCCCACGAAGAAAGGAAGACCCAGCACAGCCAAAAAUAAAUUAAUUUUUAAAAAGCCACUGAGAAAGCUCCCUUGUCCUUUCCACUCUGUGAGGAUACAAGAAGCCAGCUGUCUGCAACCCAGACGAGGCCUCUCACCAGACUAACCAUGCCGGCACCUUGACCUUGUACUUUCAGCUUCCAGAACUGUAAGCA